RNAcentral lists this long non-coding RNA (1492 nucleotides) under Scophthalmus maximus (turbot). RNAcentral's name for it is "lncRNA (ENSSMAG00000033534.1)". Lineage: Eukaryota; Metazoa; Chordata; Actinopteri; Pleuronectiformes; Scophthalmidae. The record is from RNAcentral.
CAAUACAGGGGUUGGGGUUGGCUUUUUUACAUGGAUGCUGUCAGGUGUGUAAAUAUGUAAUUUGAAUGUGGAGGUUUUCUAAGUAUGUGUGUUGGGGGGGGGGGGGAAUAAUUAAUGGAGAAUAGGUGCAGAACAAAGUAGGUGCAGAUACAUGUAGUGCUCCAGCUGUGCACCAGAUAGGGCAGAUAUGGUAAAUAAAUCGGUGACGUGCUGCGAUCGACACAGAGAGAACACAAAGACAGAAGGCAGGCAGACUCUGACGGAGACGGAUAAGAAGACAGAGAAGUAGGCCGACAAUCAGGCAGACUGGAGCACACAAAUAAACAAGGGUACCUGUACUGUAUGGAUAAUGACGUGGUUUUGGAGAUGAAAGCAGAAACAAUGCAAAUAGCCUUCACUCUCAGCAGUUACCAUGACGACCAACCACCUGAACUUGGCAGGAUUCAGGAAGGGGCCGUGUUGUACAGUAUUCAUGACAGACAUUUUGGAAUUAUGGAUGAAUAUUUCAUGGCCUGUUGAACUUGGAUCCAUCCUGGGAUGCUGUUGGCAGUGGAUACCAUUCAUGCUAUCACACUAUCAUACCAAUGGCUUGAUACGUCUCCUUCCCUUGAAAUGUCAAUGCAGAGCGAUCUGAGAAUCCGUUCAUGUUUCUGAAAAGGAAAACUCAGAAAUCGAAAACAGGGAGAGGCAGAGUGAUUGUCUUACCAAUAAGUGCUGAUACAUAUUUGAAUCUAAUACAUGUUUCAGACGACAAGGGCAGUGGCAGUCGCGCUGCAAGAUAGAGGGCGGGGUGCCUAACUCCAUUCUUACUGUCUAAAGUCCUGUUGGGGGUCCUCGUGCUUGACUGGUCAUCUGUGGAUCCGACGGACUGGCAAUAGUUCACCGCCUCCAGCCCCCUACUGAGCAACUGGCAAAGGUAGCCUGAGGGGGCGGGCUGUGAGCGUGUGAUAUCGAUGACAUGUUUCAUAACAAGUGUCUAAGGCCAUCUAUUACCUGGCCCUCUGUGUUUUUACCUUGCUUCAUCAUAUUUUUAUCCAGCAUUUUCUGUCUCUCCUCACUCUCACCACUCUGAGGGGCUGGGAAACCAGCAGACUGCAGCUGAAUGAAGGAAAACACAUGGAGACGGUUUGGAAUUAUUGGCGUAAUUAGACCUACAGGGGGUAUAGAUUGAAAGAUUUGCCUGAGUGAUGAUUCUGGUGUACAGGUGUGAGGAGGCCAGUGAAGCAUUUAUUCAAUUCAGGCUCACUGGGCACCAGCCUUUCCACGUGAGGAGGGCACAAGAAAACAUUGUUGUUAUUUAUGUAAAAAUAAUGGAGCGUCAGUCACUCAAUGGGAAAAUAAAUGGACAAUUUUAAUGCUGACCCAAGUUGGACUUUGGCUUGUAGUUAACAACAUUAUGAAUAAGCAACAGCUGAAAAAUAUCCUUUUCUCUUCUUUUCUUUUCUUUGAAGAGUAAUGUACUACAGUUGUUAAAUUUGAUCUUUGGUAGUCU